GACCUGGUAGUAUAAUGGUAAUACACCCCUUGCAAAUAAAAGAGCACGAAAGAGUGUCAAAACUGCUUGGGGACACUCCCCGUUCGAUUCAGGGCCAGGUCA
Non-coding RNA from Collybia nuda, 102 nucleotides. NCBI's taxonomy places the organism in Eukaryota, Fungi, Basidiomycota, Agaricomycetes, Agaricales, Clitocybaceae. The record is from the annotation of a GenBank genome assembly.